This 437-nucleotide long non-coding RNA is filed under the name Gadus morhua (Atlantic cod). RNAcentral's name for it is "lncRNA (ENSGMOG00000034397.1)". Lineage: Eukaryota; Metazoa; Chordata; Actinopteri; Gadiformes; Gadidae. The record is from RNAcentral.
GCCGCCAUCUAGUGGCUAUGGGACGCUGGAUGGCCUCCUUCUCCCGCACCUGGACGUAAUUAUCCUUGAUGAUCGUCCCUACAUCAGCCGGCGCCAGUUCGUCGCUACGUCUUUACAUAUUCUCCGGUCACCGAACCCCUGCCUGCCUGACUCUCCUGCCGGUUCCUGAUCCCUGCCUGUCUGACUCUCCUUCUGGUUCCUGAUCCUCGCCUGUCUGACUCUCCUGCCGGUUCCUGAUCCCUGCCUGUCUGACUCUCCUCCUGGUACCUGAUCCUCGCCUGUCUGACACUCCUGCCGGUUCCUGAUCCCCGCCUGUCUGACUACCCCGCUGGUUCCUGAUCCCUGCUUGUCUGACUACUCGCCUGUCUACGGAAUAAACCCCUUUCCUUUAUUCCGUCUCCCUGUGUCCAGCAUUUGGGUCCCCUCGUCUGUUCCGU